AACGAACGCUGGCGGCAUGCCUAACACAUGCAAGUCGAACGAGACCUUCGGGUCUAGUGGCGCACGGGUGCGUAACGCGUGGGAACCUGCCUUUAGGUUCGGAAUAACUCAGAGAAAUUUGAGCUAAUACCGGAUGAUGUCUUCGGACCAAAGAUUUAUCGCCUUUAGAUGGGCCCGCGUUGGAUUAGCUAGUUGGUGGGGUAAAGGCCUACCAAGGCGACGAUCCAUAGCUGGUCUGAGAGGAUGAUCAGCCACACUGGGACUGAGACACGGCCCAGACUCCUACGGGAGGCAGCAGUGGGGAAUAUUGGACAAUGGGCGAAAGCCUGAUCCAGCAAUGCCGCGUGAGUGAUGAAGGCCUUAGGGUUGUAAAGCUCUUUUACCCGAGAUGAUAAUGACAGUAUCGGGAGAUUAAGCUCCGGCUAACUCCGUG
This 433-nucleotide ribosomal RNA is filed under the name uncultured bacterium. Its description in RNAcentral is "partial 16S ribosomal RNA". It matches the Rfam family "Bacterial small subunit ribosomal RNA", at positions 29 to 507 of the family's 1533-position model. The record is from RNAcentral.